UCUUGGUCAUUUAGAGGAAGUAAAAGUCGUAACAAGGUCUCCGUAGGUGAACCUGCGGAGGGAUCAUUACAGAGAACAUCGCCCUCACAGGGGUGACUCUCCAACCCUAUGUUAUUUAAACCUUUGUUGCUUUGGCGAGCCGCUUCGGCCACCGGCUCUUGCUGGUGCGCGCUCGCCAGAGGACCACAAACUCUGUUUAUUAGUGUCGUCUGAGUACUAUAUAAUAGUUAAAACUUUCAACAACGGAUCUCUUGGUUCUGGCAUCGAUGAAGAACGCAGCGAAAUGCGAUAAGUAAUGUGAAUUGCAGAAUUCAGUGAAUCAUCGAAUCUUUGAACGCACAUUGCGCCCCGUGGUAUUCCGCGGGGCAUGCCUGUUCGAGCGUCAGUACAACACUCAAGCUCUGCUUGGUAUUGGACCGCAUCAGUUCUGAUCGGUCUUAAAAUCAGUGGCGGUGCCAUCGUGCUCUAAGCGUAGUAAUACUUCUCGCUACAGGGUCUCGGUGCGUGCUUGCCAGCAACCUCCAACUUUCUAAGUUUGACCUCGGAUCAGGUAGGGAUACCCGCUGAACUUAAGCAUAUCAAUAAGCGGAGGA
Molecule: ribosomal RNA, 593 nt
Filed under: Infundichalara microchona
Lineage: Eukaryota; Fungi; Ascomycota; Leotiomycetes; Helotiales; Hamatocanthoscyphaceae
Description: eukaryotic LSU rRNA
Rfam family: 5.8S ribosomal RNA (bases 232-385)
Source: RNAcentral